CAACAUGAAACUUCAUGUGUGUUCAGAUAUUAAUGACGAACUGUGCAAUGCGUAAACACAAUAACACUUCACUUUAUUAUUUUACAGUUAUUGCCCUUUUCAUCCAUCUGCAACAAUCAAUAAACAAAAUUUAUUCGGUGGGGGAUAUCAAUUCAACGAAUUUACUUGUAUUUUACAGAUAUUCGUGCCUAGAUGCAGAUGAUGCAAAAAGAAACGACCACAAGCAGCACAUGAACUUUUUUGUCGAACUUAUUUCAUAGCACUGUCGCCAUGGUAACAAGACAGGAACAGUUUCUGUCUAAGUGCGCAUGCAUAGUAUCUGUCAUUUGUCUGACAUACUUUUGGUAUAUUCUGGGACCCAGUUCGGACUAUUUCCUUGUGAAUAUAGUCUGUUUCGUAUUCAAAACUUUAGUUUCAGUUAUCGUAUGCAUUCCAGCAUUGUGGAUAAGCCUUUGGCGACCGAAAGAAUUGCUGGAAGACUUCGUGGAGCUAUGCAUUUACUACGGCUGGGCGUAUGUGUCACUAAAUCAGCACAUAAUAACUAUUGAGCGAAACGGCGAUCCAUAUUUCUUAAAAGACACAAUACGAGCAAAUAUAAAGCUGGCAUUGAUGCAAAUUGCGUUGGUUUUAUUCUUCAAAACAGAUGAAAGACACAGUCGUACUUUUGCAAAGUUGUCAACUACGAUUGGUGUUUUGGCGUCAGUACCUGAACUUCUGUGGUUGUCGAAUGUGAAUUACUUGCUGGAACAGUUUGUGUUUUUAAACUGUUCUUUCGAUUGGGUCUGCAGAACGUUCGAUAAGUUUGUCGGCAGAACGUUACAUAAUUAUAUUUCAUCCAGCAUCCGACCUGGCUUUGCAAUAGCCGAAUUCAUAACCAGGUUUUUAGUCUAUUUGCAACUGAUUUUGGGCAGGUGAAAUAGAUAUUUAAUAUAGUAUUUCGUAAUUCUUACAUUUACUCAUUUAGAAUCUUUUUUCUAACAUUUUCUUAAAAAAACAUGGCUAACUCCGUUUUUAGUCAAUUUUUUAGAAACUAAAACAAAUUACGUUCGUAAAACAAUUCUGUUAUUGGAAAAAGCGAGUUAUUUUUAGAAAAUUACCAUCUACAAGGCAAACUUAAAAGAAUUACGUCCCUUGAAAACAACGGGAGACAAUUAUAUUACUGCUUCAUGCGAGGUAGGGGACUUUUAUUGCUUGGCAAUAGUCUUGUUCUUCAUACAAAAUCUUUUUGAUAGCCUUUUACAUUUUCAUUCAGACAACUAAUCCUUUAACAUUUACUUUAAAAGAAACUUCCUUGUAUCUUGCAAAUAGACGUUCAGCGCGUUCUCGUUUCAGACUGUGCGCGUGAAGCCUUAGAGGCUUUUCCAAAUGUUUCUUCUGUUUUGUCGUUCUUAGUUGCUUGCCCUGUAUUGUUUGUGAUAUGCAGAUUAAAAAAUACUGAUGUUAAUUCUUUCGCAAAGAUUGAUUGCUCUUGCCUGAGUUAACAUUUUCAUUUUUCUUUAAUAUUUGUAACACAGAUUUUGAAAAUUGCAAUGUUACCGAUAUUUGAGCUGUCAAUGGAUAUGUUUGCCAAGUUACCUCCCAAGCGGUCAUCAUUAAAAUAAUGUUAACAUUUGUCCAUGUUACCUCCACAGCGGUAACCGCUACAAUCAUGUAAAACCUCUGUCCAGGUUACCGCCACAGCGGCAAACGCUACCAUCAUGUAAACAUCUCUCCAAGUUACUUUCACAGCGGUAACCGCUACAAUUAGGUAAACAUUUGUCCAGGUAACCUCUACAGCGGCAAACGCUACCAUCAUAUAAACAUCUCUCGAGAUUACCUUCACAGCGGUAACCGCUACAAUCAUGUUAACAUAUGUCCUGGUACUCCACAGCGGCAAACGCUAGCAUUAUAUAAACAUCUAUCCAAGUUACCACAACAGCGGUAACCGCUAUUAUCAUGUAACCAUCUCUCCAGGUUACCUCCACAAUGGCAAACGUAACCAUCAUGUAAACAUCUCUCCAGAUUAAUCCAAUAAGUUUUAGACUGUCAAUUGACACACACACUAAGUAUUGAAAGUCAUACCAUGAGCUUUCGUCCGUGUACUACGGACUUCAUCAGCAGAAUGAAUAUCUACUGUUGGGAAACGUUAACACCGCUAAUUGUCGGGCUGGGGGAUGGUAAAGUAUGGUCCCAGGUAUGCGAGAGUUGGUAGCGGCCCCCGUCCUUGUUUAGCGCCGGUCUAAGUGCAAGGAUGUAAAUAGCCUCCUUGAUCCUUCUCUCGAACCAAGAUGGCUCACGGUCCAGAAUCCUAACGUUCUCCAUUGUGAUUGCCUGGCCCGGUUUACAGUCCUGUAUAUGCAUUGAGACCUCAGAUGAUGUUGAACUCGGUCUCCUGUGUUCUGUACCAUAACACAUACUCAAAUAAAGUCGAUGAAUAGUUCUUUGCUCUUU
This is a long non-coding RNA of Dreissena polymorpha, 2430 nucleotides long. RefSeq lists it as uncharacterized. The record is from RefSeq and is a predicted model, not a curated record. Lineage: Eukaryota; Metazoa; Mollusca; Bivalvia; Myida; Dreissenidae. The transcript is spliced from 3 exons.